Anthonomus grandis grandis is the source of this 372-nucleotide long non-coding RNA. RefSeq lists it as uncharacterized. The transcript is spliced from 2 exons. Lineage: Eukaryota; Metazoa; Arthropoda; Insecta; Coleoptera; Curculionidae. The record is from RefSeq and is a predicted model, not a curated record.
AUACGAUAACAAUAUAACGGUUUGACCAUUAAUAACCCUCAAAAGAACAUCAACCGACUUAAUUUAAAUAAUGAAAAUUUCUCUGAAUUACGUCUUGUUAUUCGCUAUAAUUAUUGUUUUUCUUAUGGAAAAUGUAGAAGGCGUCCCCAAAUACCUCCCGAGGAAUUUCACGAAAAUGGGAUACAACUUCGCCCAUACCUGUCCAAAGGGUGAAAUACCCUUGAAGGGGUUGUGCAGGAAAGUUUUUGAUUUUUAUGAUAAACAAGUCGAAGGGUAGAAGCGAGACUCUCUUCAAGUAAGGAGGAUAAGUAGUACAUAGCAUGUUAGAUCCUAGGAAUAAGAUAUAAAUUAAAAUGUUUAAAAAGUAUAUAA